UGCCACGCCCAUUCUGCUCUUACUCCUGAU
This 30-nucleotide non-coding RNA is filed under the name Mus musculus (house mouse). Lineage: Eukaryota; Metazoa; Chordata; Mammalia; Rodentia; Muridae. The record is from RNAcentral.